UCACUAGUCAAAAGGGAAACAGCCCAGACCGUCGCUUAAGGUCCCUAAAUCCGAAUUAAGUGUUAAAGGUGGUGGAAAGACUCAAACAACUAGGAGGUUGGCUUAGAAGCAGCCAUCCUUUAAAGAAAGCGUAACAGCUCACUAGUCGAGUUUUUCUGCGUCGAAAAUAAUCGGGACUAAAUUCGGUACCGAAAGCACGGGUUCUCCGAUUUAUCGGAGAGCGGUAGGGGAGUUUUUUCGAGUCGGCGAAGUCGCAUCCGUAAGGAGCGGUGGAGGCUCGAGAAGUGAGAAUGUUGGCAUAAGUAACAAAAAUGCUGUUGAAAACACAGCACACCGAUAGCCUGAGGUUUCCUGGGCAACGCAAAUCGACCCAGGGUUAGUCGGGCCUAAGCUGAGGCCGAAAGGCGUAGGCGAUGGAAAAGCUGGUUAAUAUUCCAGCACCUUCAUAUUUUUGUUUAUAAGUGCGCUUCUAUGUGGCAAGAGAGCGUUUUGGUUAUACGCUUGGCUCCUUGAGCAAUCAAGGGUCCGCAGGUGAAGCCGCAAGGUGGAGCCGAUUCUUGUAAAGUAGGAGCCUAGAAAAUCUUAUAAACGUUAAGGGUAUGGAGUCCGUACCGUAAACCGACACAGGUAGGCAAGGCGGGAAGCCUAAGGUGUACGGGAGAAUCCUCGUUUAGGAACUAAGCAAAAAAACUAGGCGUAAGUUCGCGAUAAGCCUUGCCCCGAGCAAUCGGGGCUGCAAUAAAAAUAUCUCAAGUGACUGUUUACCAAAAACACAGGUCCCUGCGAAAGCGCAAGCUGAUGUAUAGGGGCUGAUGCCUGGCCAGUGUCAGAACGUUAAGGGGAGAGGUCAUCCGUCGCAAGACGGGGCAGCCUUGAACUGAAGCGCUGAUGAACGCCGGCGAUAACUAUAAUCGUCCUAAGGUAGCGAAAUCCCUUGUCGGGUGAGUUCCGACCCGCACGAAUGGCAUAACAACUUGAGAACUGUCUUAACGAGGAACCCGGUGAAAUUGCAAGAGGGGUGAAGAUGCCCUUUACCCACGGCUAGACGAAAAGACCCCGUGAAGCUUUACUACAA
This 1075-nucleotide ribosomal RNA is filed under the name bacterium. RNAcentral describes it as "partial 23S ribosomal RNA". It matches the Rfam family "Bacterial large subunit ribosomal RNA", at positions 1004 to 2109 of the family's 2925-position model. The record is from RNAcentral.